GACAACCAAAUACCAGACGAUUAAUAGUAGCUGUAGAAUAGUUGUACAAGCAGUAGUAGUAAUACUAAAAGUACAAGCAGUAGUAGUAUAAAAUAGCUGUUAGAGUCAUAGAAGUAGUAUCAGCAUUUGUAAUAAUAUUACAAUUUGUAGUAGCAGUGCCAGUAUCAGCAGCAGUAGUUAGUGUACCACCACUACUACUAGUAGUAGUCACAUUGCUAUUACUACCACCAAUACUACCAAUAGUAGUUAUAAAGCCUAACUCAUGUAUAUCCAGAUUACCAUCUAUGUUCUUCCUCCAAACCCAUUUUAUGAUUGGGAUUACAGGCAGUUCUUUAGGACUGCUCUCAAAUAAUUGAAAUGUUACUAACCAAGGUUAUACUGUCAAAUUAAAUAGCUCUGGUCUCCAGUAUAUUGGCGAAUUCGGUUCUUUGUACUUAAUUUAUUAGCAUGAUUUCUUUUUAAUAUGUUGUGUACAGACUUAAUUACUUCUCUGUCUACUUUUCUUACUCCAUGUAGGUUUCCCAGAGACUAUGGGUUGAGGAGGAAUUGGAAGUUUGUCGGCUUAGACCUGGUGUCAUUCCAUCAGUGUUAAACUUCCCGGCUCAUCUUGGAAGAGUACGUGCCAGAAAGACCACAACCAAGCAGCCUUGAGAUCUUAGGCAGCGUCUCCCUCAGGUCCCUCUCUAUCUCCCCACACAUCCACCAACCACUGGAACACAUCUCCAAAGUUCUGCCGGGCUCAGCUUCCCCUCAGAAGAAGUUCCACCAGAUGAAAGAGCCUUUUGAGAGGCAGCUGGCAUCGUGAUUGGACUGUACUUUGGUCUGUUCCAAUCCAGCUUCAGCUCCAGAGACGGCAGGCGGGACGAGUCAACGGAGGCCGGGUGGACGAAGGCAUGCAGCUGAGUACAAUCCAGAAAACAACAGAGGAGGAGUGCAGUGCCAGAAAAAACAGAGUAUGUCUCUUAGAAAACAUCAUAGUAUAGCCUUUGGUAUAAAAACACCAUCAUAUACAUCGUAUAUUGUACAAAUAACAAGUCAAAGGAAAGAGACAUACAUUGUAGAAUUGUAGUAAUUGUGGGCUGACUGAUUUACUGAUUAUCAGUAUUUUAUUUUUUACUGAUUUACAGUAAUAAAUACAUUUAAAAAUGGUGCUACUUUGGCUCUGAACCUUUAUCUACCUGUGGUUGCUCUGUCUUCUGGAGUGAUUUGAUUGGUUAUGCGUCACGAAUAAAACUCCUUUAACUUAACAUCUGUAAACAAAACAAAAACGUAUCAACAAAGUUUUCUGUUAGAGUUUGUGUUCUUCUAAGUUUAACUCCAAGAUUUUAAAUACUUUCAUUUACUGCAAAUGAAUAUCUACUCCAAAUGUCUCACUAAUAAUCAUUAUCAGCCUUAAAAACCCACAAAACACCCCUUUAUACUCGACCACACUUAGUACAGUCCGGUUCCCCCUUCUAUAAAUCUGCUUGGAAUCUUCCACUUCCUGUUUGUCAAAGUGGCCUUCUACCUGGACAGGUUUUGUUGGAGCUCAUGCAACAAACAUUUUGGGUAACUGCACUUUAAUAUGGAUGGAUGACACUGAAUUAGAGUCUGUUUUAAUGAGACUGAGUUAAGAUGUGUAGCUCUGUCAUUAAAUAGGAAAUUAUUUCUCAGAAUUCACAGAGAAAAGUCUGAAAUGUUUGCUAGGUUAGCGUCCCACAUGUUCUUUGGCUCAGCUAAAGCUAACUCUCUCCAACUUCUGGAUCUCUUGAGUUGCUUGUUGUUAAAAUAUCUUGCUAGAGGUGCUGAAGCUCAGAAAGUCUGAGAUGUUUGUUCAAAAUAAGCUCAUUCUCAAGUCUUAUCUGAACUCUUUUGUUUGAACUUUCCCUAAACUUAGGAGUUAAUGACAGAGCAGCACAUCCAGACUGAGUCUCAUUUAUGUAGAGAUUAAACUUCAGUGUCAUUCAUUGAUGUUAAAGUGCAGUUUUUCAAAUGUUUGUUGCACAUGCUCCCGACCAAACCAGUCCAGGUGGAAGACGAUGUGAAGAGAAAGCUCCAGAGGAUGAAUAUCACACAUUUACAUUGGAAAUUAAUGUCCUUUAAUUAGACAUUGUCAUGCAAAAGUUGGAUUUCCCUUUAAUGAUGUUCAAAUCUUUGUUGAGUGUUUUGUUGAUGUUGGUUUCUAAAUGUUUUUUGACACUCGGCCCCAAAGAUUAAAACCUUCUACAGCUCACAAGCUGCAACAAUUCACACAUUAUCAACUAUCUUUCUGACUAAACUAAGAUAAAAAGUGAAAAACUGUCUGAUUCCUGCAUCAUGAAUGUAAAUCUUUUUGGUUUUUAUGACAGUAAACUGAAUAUAUUUGG
Long non-coding RNA from Amphiprion ocellaris (clown anemonefish), 2345 nucleotides. RefSeq lists it as uncharacterized. The transcript is spliced from 2 exons. The record is from RefSeq and is a predicted model, not a curated record. NCBI's taxonomy places the organism in Eukaryota, Metazoa, Chordata, Actinopteri, Pomacentridae.